CUUGGUAUAGAAGAAUACCUAUCACGCUAUAUCCAAUAUGUCUGAAGAUGUCCUAAGGUGCCCAAAUGUUCACCCUCCGAUGUUGAUCCACACAGGAAUGGGUUCAAGACUCUAGCUCCACCAAAACUUGAUUCUAAUUGUUCAAUCCUUCCAAAGGAUUUAAUUGGCUGAUUUUCCUUCACUUCCUUCUUCCUUUCUACCUCUAAAACAUUCACUAGCCUUUUUGUCCUAAAGAAGACCCUCUUGUCUUGGGUUAGGACAAAAGAGAGAGGCUUGUAAGAAAGAAG
RNAcentral lists this long non-coding RNA (287 nucleotides) under Phoenix dactylifera (date palm). RNAcentral describes it as "long non-coding RNA (PDAC_LNC010206)". The record is from RNAcentral. Lineage: Eukaryota; Viridiplantae; Streptophyta; Magnoliopsida; Arecales; Arecaceae.